GUGACUUGAAUGUCGAUCCGACCGUCCAACCUUCAAAGUAUCUACAAGAACAAAAAAUAACACAAGUAAGCUCAUUGAAGCUUAGUAAGAUCGAAGUACUAAAAUGAUAAAUCUUAUCGAAGUAAGUACAACAAAUCAAAUAAUAUAAUACAACCAUAUGUGUUCCCUGUCAACCACAAUCUCAACGGUGAAUUGUAAAAUUCGAUUCAAAACUCAAAUACAUGAAAAAAAUAAAAAAAAAUCACUAAACAAGUUAACUUACUAAAAUUUACAAUCUGAUAAACGACUUAUGGAUAAGAGCACAUCAAUAUUCCAACCAAAACACACCAGAUGCUCAUAAGAGCAAAUCUAUCCGAAACAUAACAAAUGCUCAUAAGAGCCAAUCCACCUAAUAACACACCAAUGGCUCCGAAGAGCUAGUCCAGC
Molecule: long non-coding RNA, 426 nt
Filed under: Gossypium raimondii (Peruvian cotton)
Lineage: Eukaryota; Viridiplantae; Streptophyta; Magnoliopsida; Malvales; Malvaceae
Description: long non-coding RNA (GRAI_LNC003753)
Source: RNAcentral